RNAcentral lists this non-coding RNA (22 nucleotides) under Arabidopsis thaliana (thale cress). The record is from RNAcentral. Lineage: Eukaryota; Viridiplantae; Streptophyta; Magnoliopsida; Brassicales; Brassicaceae.
UAACCAAACUAACCAGAUCAAC